UACGUAGGGGGCAAGCGUUGUCCGGAUUUAUUGGGCGUAAAGAGCGUGUAGGCGGCCAGAUAGGUCUGUUGUGAAAACUCGAGGCUCAACCUCGAGACGCCGAUGGAAACCAUUUGGCUAGAGUCCGGAAGAGGAGAGUGGAAUUCCUGGUGUAGCGGUGAAAUGCGCAGAUAUCAGGAAGAACACCCGUGGCUAAGGCGGCUCUCUAGUACGGUACUGACGCUGAGGAGCGAAAGUGUGGGGAGCGAACAGG
Molecule: ribosomal RNA, 253 nt
Filed under: uncultured bacterium
Lineage: Bacteria
Description: partial 16S ribosomal RNA
Rfam family: Bacterial small subunit ribosomal RNA
Source: RNAcentral